GACGAACGCUGGCGGCGUGCUUAACACAUGCAAGUCGAGCGGUAAGGCCCUUUCGGGGGUACACGAGCGGCGAACGGGUGAGUAACACGUGGGUGACCUGCCCUCAGCUCUGGGAUAAGCCUGGGAAACCGGGUCUAAUACUGGAUAUGACUCCAUGACGCAUGUUGUGUGGUGGAAAGCCUUGUGCGGCUGAGGAUGGGCCCGCGGCCUAUCAGCUUGUUGGUGGGGUUAGGCCUACCAAGGCGACGACGGGUAGCCGGCCUGAGAGGGCGACCGGCCACACUGGGACUGAGACACGGCCCAGACUCCUACGGGAGGCAGCAGUGGGGAAUCUUGCGCAAUGGGCGAAAGCCUGACGCAGCGACGCCGCGUGAGGGAUGACGGCCUGG
This 389-nucleotide ribosomal RNA is filed under the name uncultured bacterium. RNAcentral's name for it is "bacterial SSU rRNA". It matches the Rfam family "Bacterial small subunit ribosomal RNA", at positions 28 to 419 of the family's 1533-position model. The record is from RNAcentral.